RNAcentral lists this long non-coding RNA (1111 nucleotides) under Cavia porcellus (domestic guinea pig). RNAcentral describes it as "lncRNA (ENSCPOG00000031583.1)". The record is from RNAcentral. Lineage: Eukaryota; Metazoa; Chordata; Mammalia; Rodentia; Caviidae.
CCAUGUGGUGCAGGGGGAGAAGAUCACAGGGAGAAGAAGAGACAGAGGCUGGUGGGGGGGGGCAGGAGACAGCCCUGGGCUGGAGAACAAGGAGGAUCAGCAGACUUAGGGGACAAAGGGACAGGUGUGGGGCCUGGGACAAGAGGAACUGAGGCAGCGGUAGGACAUCUGUGUGGAGACACUGUGACUUAAGGGCUUGGGGUCAGGAGAGCUCCGGCAUGGAGACCAGGUCAGAGCUCGUUCUGUCCUCCUGCAUGUUAACUUGUCUCCAUGAAUCUAUGUUCACAGGGGCUGACAGGUGGUCCAACCUGGCCCCUGUCUUCCAAGGGUUGCAUUCUAGUGUGGAAGAGCCGAGUCCUUGGCUCAGAUCUGAGUGUGUAUGAAACAUGGUAGAGCCAGGGGUAGUGGUCCCUGCCUGUGAUUCUUGUACUGAGGCAGAAAGAUGGCAAGUUUGAGCCCGGCCUGGACAACGUAGGGAGAAUCUUUCUCAAAAUUUAAAAAUCAAAUAUAAAGGCUGCAGAUGUAUGUACCUCAGUGGGAAGGCCUAGGGUUCAGUCCCCAGGGUCACAAAAGAUGAAAGAGUAAAGAUAGGAUGGAGCGAAGGCAGGAAUGGAUGAUGAACUCCCGAGGCAGGCAGAGAAGGCUUCCUGGAGGAGGCGGCUCCAGCUGGUUUGGUGGAGAAGGAGGGAUGAGCAGAGCCCUGGGGUUUAUCUGUGGGUCUCUCCCUCCCCUGCUGCGUCCACAUGUACACCCUCUCUUUCUCUUCCAGGCUCCUGUGAGCUCCGCCUGCCUUUCCUCCCACGGGAGGACUCAGUCCCAGGCACACACCCCAGUCCAGGCUGCUGUGCCAGGUGUGCUGGUGCUGUGGGCUCUGCGGCAGCAACAGGGCGGCCAGACAGGCACAGAAGGCCUCAUGUCCAGGAACACUCCUGCCCUCAAGAGAACCAGUGCUGGGCCUGAAGGAGGAGGCCCCCAGGUCCCCUCUAAGGGUCCCUACCUCCUCAGAAAGCCCCAGCCUCUGCUUAGCAAGACUCUCCAGCCUCCUGAUACCAACUCACACCAGGCCCCAAGCCAUCGACUGCAUCCUUCGGAUCUCCAGGGCACAGACUGA